RNAcentral lists this non-coding RNA (2288 nucleotides) under Cryptosporidium parvum. The record is from RNAcentral. Lineage: Eukaryota; Apicomplexa; Conoidasida; Eucoccidiorida; Cryptosporidiidae.
UUGUCUUUUUCCAGCUCCUGGUUUUAUAAAAUGUUGGGCACUUGGGUUAGUAGGACAAUUUGUAGAGAGACAUCCCACAGGUUUAACAAGUGGACGACAAUUAGGGUUAUAACAAGGAGGUAUUUUCCCAUCUCCCGCAGAAGAACGAUAACAACUUCGAGGCAUACUAGUACUAAGCGGUUUAAUACCACGAAAACCCGUUGAAUUCCCACCAGUUUGUCCGGAAGAUGAACCUGUAAAUUGCGUACUAGAACUUGAGGAAGUCCCAAUAGCUCUACUUAAUAGCCGAGCAAGACCUAGUGAGGAGCCAAUAGGAAUAGGUCCUUUUUGCGGAUUUUGAGGACCUUGUUUGAAUGGAACAUGUUUCUGUUGUGGACCAGAAGGACCAGAUACAGUAUUACGUAAUUGAAUAGCUGUUUUAAGAAUCCCUCGACCUCCAGUUCCAGCUAGGGGACGAUAGAAACCAGACUUCAAUUUUAUAAAGGAAUACUUGGAGGCAAAAUCUGGAUUAAUGGAUGUAUUUAAAAAAUCAUUAAAGAAAACCUGAUCUGAUAAAAGCAAUAAGAAAUUGAAUAGAACAGUGAAAAACGAAAACAACUUCAAAUAAUUAAACAUUCUUAAUAAUUGUAAACUUCUUUUAUAAGUGGAAGAAAAGAUAUUGCCGGGGAGAAACAGUUAGAGGGGAAACGCUUUGGCGCCAUAUUACGUAUCUUAUCAAAUUAAAGAGUGAAAAAAUUUGAUUGAAAACAGAACUCAAUUUUUCUUAAUAUUUGCGUUCAUCUUUCCUAUGAUAUUGGAAUUGCUUGCUUUGUGUUAAUUUAUGUCAAAACUUCAUGAAUGUUAUAUUUUUUUUCUAAAGAAAAAAUGCUGUAAUUAACUACCAUUCGAAUCAUUUUUUUUUUAAAUAAGUUUAAGUUGAUGAAGAAAAAUGAUUUCACUAAGUGUUAAAUGAUUGUUACAUGAAAUGUUUGCUUAUAAUUUUUCUCAUUACUUCAGAAACUAAUAACCAUAUGUUUUUAUCAUAAUGAGAUGAUAUUUCUGUGAAAAUUAAUUUAUUUUGACUUAAUUUAUAAUGGUUGAUAAAAUUUCUAAUCACAAAAUAUUUGUACACUAACUUGCUAUUUAGCCUAUUAUUUUUGUAACUUAAUAUUUCAAAAUAUUAUGUGGAAGAGAUCGAUCAACUUUGUUAAUAAUAUAUUGAUAAAUUGUAGCAAGUUCAAUAAUAAGUAUUAUAGCUGAAAUAAGGAACGAUAUUCUGAGAAGAUAAUAUUAUUUAUUAGAUAAUUAUUAAAUAGGUUGAAAUUAUUAUGCUUAAAUCUUGUUGUAAUAAUAAAUUAAAGUGCUUUUUCUUAUAAUUAUUAAAAAGGCUUGUUUAAAUUACAAAUUUUUUUUCGAAAAGCUAAGAAUUUGUUUCCCAAAAAUAUCUAAAUACAGAAAAUAUUAAAUAUUUUGAAUUAAAAAAAUGGUUAAUGAUUUAAAAUAUAAAUUAUCUUUAAGGAGUCUAUAUUGAAUAAUAAUGAUUUAAUUUAUUAAUAUAAAUUAAGAUAUUCAUCAAUUUGAUCCGAAAUCACAAUUAAAAAAAAAGUGAAAAUUUGGCAAUAUUUAUUUUAAUACAGGAUUUUUUUUUCGAAUUACAAAAAUUACAUUAAAUAUUUAGUACUUUUCUCAUAAAGCAAAUUAAAUUAUUUUUAAUAGUUUAUGUUUCUUUAUCAAAAUGAUUAAAUAGUAAUUUAAUUUGUUAUUAAAUAAUCAUUACAUUUACAAGUUUGAAUUCAUUUAUUGUAAUAAAGAUUUAUAUCUAUAUUUUUACGUGUAUAAUAACUAUUUUAAACAUGUAAAUUAGAAUUAGUUAAAUUUAAAUGUAAAAUAUUAAACGAAAAAAAAUAUAUCAAAUUGAUCCUUAAUAAAUCUAAUAAAUCGAGUUCAACAGAUUUUGUUGAAAAAAGUGUGAGAACUAUACUAUUUUCUUAACCUCUGUUUGCUGUGACAUAAUUCCUUUUUUUGAAAUAAAUUUUUUUAAAAAAAAUAUUAUUCAACAAGAGAUGAAACAAAUUUUUCCAUAUUGUUUUUGAAUUAAAUUACUUUUUGUGAAUUUCAGUGAAGAUUUUGUCUAAUAUGUUUGAGCAUUUCAACAAUGGGAAGUUUGUCAGUAAGACAACUUAUUCUUUUAAUUAGAUAUUAUUAUUUGCAAAUUUAUGGAUUGAUACUAAUCAUCUAGCUACUUUAAGGCUUAUAGUUAAUAUUUAUAUUAUCUUUUGAUUUAUUCAAUUAUUAAAUCUUUCUUGACA